AUCGACGCAAUUCUGCGCGUGCGGGCCUA
RNAcentral lists this small RNA (29 nucleotides) under Bombyx mori (domestic silkworm). Its description in RNAcentral is "ovarian small RNA-12482". Lineage: Eukaryota; Metazoa; Arthropoda; Insecta; Lepidoptera; Bombycidae. The record is from RNAcentral.